GUAUAGAGUUGUUGGCGUACAACUUUGAGCGGUGGAUCACUCGGCUCGUGUGUCGAUGAAGAGUGCAGC
Molecule: ribosomal RNA, 69 nt
Filed under: Schistosoma japonicum
Lineage: Eukaryota; Metazoa; Platyhelminthes; Trematoda; Strigeidida; Schistosomatidae
Description: partial 5.8S ribosomal RNA
Rfam family: 5.8S ribosomal RNA (bases 21-69)
About the family: 5.8S ribosomal RNA (5.8S rRNA) is a component of the large subunit of the eukaryotic ribosome. It is transcribed by RNA polymerase I as part of the 45S precursor that also contains 18S and 28S rRNA. Functionally, it is thought that 5.8S rRNA may be involved in ribosome translocation.
Source: RNAcentral